UGGGGAAUAUUGCACAAUGGACGGAAGUCUGAUGCAGCAACGCCGCGUGCGGGAUGACGGCCUUCGGGUUGUAAACCGCUUUUUCUCAUGACGAAGUUUUUUGACGGUAGUGGGGGAAGAAGCACCGGCUAACUACGUGCCAGCAGCCGCGGUGAUACGUAGGGUGCGAGCGUUGUCCGGAAUUAUUGGGCGUAAAGAGCUUGUAGGCGGUUUGUCGCGUCGAUAGUGCAAACUCAGUGCUUAACGCUGAGCCUGCUGUUGAUACGGGCAGACUAGAGGAAGGUAGGGGAGAAUGGAAUUCCCGGUGGAGCGAUAGAAUGCGCAGAUAUCGGGAGGAACACCGGUGGCGAAGGCGGUUCUCUGGGCCUUUCCUGACGCUGAGAAGCGAAAGCGUGGGGAGCGAACAGG
This 408-nucleotide ribosomal RNA is filed under the name Fusobacteriota bacterium. RNAcentral's name for it is "Fusobacteria bacterium partial 16S ribosomal RNA". It matches the Rfam family "Bacterial small subunit ribosomal RNA", at positions 355 to 776 of the family's 1533-position model. Lineage: Bacteria; Fusobacteriati; Fusobacteriota. The record is from RNAcentral.